AACCGGCACAUCCUUUCGCUCAAGGAUCUCGAAGGUGCCGGCGCGCAGGAUUGCGCGGACGGUGGAAUCGA
This 71-nucleotide small RNA is filed under the name Sinorhizobium meliloti 2011. Its description in RNAcentral is "putative ncRNA". Lineage: Bacteria; Pseudomonadati; Pseudomonadota; Alphaproteobacteria; Hyphomicrobiales; Rhizobiaceae. The record is from RNAcentral.